RNAcentral lists this ribosomal RNA (253 nucleotides) under uncultured bacterium. Its description in RNAcentral is "partial 16S ribosomal RNA". It matches the Rfam family "Bacterial small subunit ribosomal RNA", at positions 524 to 776 of the family's 1533-position model. The record is from RNAcentral.
UACGGGGGGGGCAAGCGUUGGUCGGAAUUACUGGGCGGAAAGGGCUCGUAGGCGGCCAACUAAGUCCGACGUGAAAUCCCAAGGCUUAACCUUGGAACUGCGUCGGAUACUGGAUGGCUUGAAUUCGGGAGAGGGAUGCAGAAUUCCAGGUGUAGCGGUGAAAUGCGUAGAUAUCUGGAGGAAUACCGGUGGCGAAGGCGGCAUCCUGGACCGACAUUGACGCUGAGGAGCGAAAGCUAGGGGAGCAAACGGG